Lathyrus oleraceus (garden pea) is the source of this 1790-nucleotide long non-coding RNA. RefSeq lists it as uncharacterized. Lineage: Eukaryota; Viridiplantae; Streptophyta; Magnoliopsida; Fabales; Fabaceae. The record is from RefSeq and is a predicted model, not a curated record. The transcript is spliced from 2 exons.
AGUGCAGAAUGGGCCUCGGGAACGUUUGGCCCAAACCACGGGGAAGGUGCAAGCUGGAAAAACAGGGUGUAUUUGUGAAGUACCAUAGGCCCUAUCCAAACCUCUACAAGGCUACUGCAAGCAGGUAACAGAAAUGUGAAAGAAACAGAAAAGCGCUUAUCAAACGCGCUUAUUCACCAAGCCUAUCCACAAGCAGAAACGCAAUUGGUUCUAUAAUGGAGAUUGUAACCGGAUUUCACAAGCGAUUACGCAAUGGUGACAAUUUCUACUAUCCAAUACAUCCUCAUGGAAAACAAGUCGAAGCGUAAGCAUACGGAUUAAGAGCUACCUGUCGAAGACGACGACGGAGGUGGCGACGAUGAUGACGAACACGCACAGCUUCUGAGCGUCUCUCUUCCUCUUCUCACAGUGUUGGAGCGAGCUGGAAGCGUGUGAGCGAUAACGAUCUGCGAGCUUCGAAGCUUCCGGUGGCGGUGGCGAUGAUGACGAAGAUCACUGGUAUGCUUCCGAUCCACUUUUGAGCGCCUCUCUUUUUCUUCUCUUAAUGCCGAGAUGCUCCUUCCGUAUCUGAAGCGUAUGAGAGGUGGUGAUCGUCGAACUUUGAGUCUUCCGGUGGUGGUUUAGCUCUGCCGUGUAGAGCUUCGAGUGAUGAAGCUCUCACAACAAUGGAAGAUGAGCGUAUGCUGAAGGUGGGAAUUGAGUGCAAAAUGCUUUUGGAAUGAGGGAAAAAUCUUCUGAACCCAAUGAUUGGCAAUGAUUGCCACUUAUAUAGCACGAUCCAGGGGCAAAUUGGAGAAUUAAGUCUGAAUGGUUCAAUCUGCAUCAUCCAGCUGGCACUUAAGUGAAUGAGAAGGUUUUCUUGGCUUUGGUUCCGGAGCAGGGUAGUUACCACGAUUAUGACUCAAAUUCCAUUUCUCGCCUUGCAUUGCCGACUGUUAUGGAUUUUGCCGGUGUAGUCAUUAGAAUCAUCUUGGUCCUCUUUUGCAGGUAGCUCCGAAGUUGCAGUAGGGUGCUUGGUUGAUGUAUGAAUUGAUGUGAGAUCCACCCUAUGGUUUUGGUUUGCUUCAUGUUGCAGAACUGCUUUGUUUGACUUUAAUUUGAAACAGUUUAGUAUGCCAACAGGGUGCAGCCCAAUUGUGGAUUUUGCAUUUUGCUUUGCGGUUUACCGGCUUGGAAUUGUGGCUAUUGUUUGGCUCGGCUGUUUGGCGUUUUGGACUCACUUUUAUGCAGGUUUUUGGUGGUAUUUAAAUGCCGAAUUUUGGUUGUAUUUAAAUGCAGAAUUUUGUUGUGCAGAAUUUUGUUCAUGGCUGGCUCACGUUUGGAGCUUGGUUAACGGCGUCGGCAUUGGCUUGCUAAGCUUGUAGCUUGUUGUUCGAAUUGAGUCGCUUUUCUUGAAUUGCCUUUGCUGAAAUUUAUUUAUGCAGGAUUUAUUGUGUUGCUGCAGUUUGGUGUUGGCUCUUUUUCACUUGCAGCUUGGCUCAAGGUAAUGUAGCAGCUGGAGUUUUUGGCUUUUGUUUUGUAUCGGCUUGGAUGCCGCUUUUGGCUUGUACACGCUUGUUUGGAAGCUUCAUACGCAUUUCCGUUUGGCUUUGUCUCAGUGCAUUUGGAAGCGUAACUCGCAGCUUAUGAGUAGCAGCAUGCAUUUGAAAUAAUUGUUUCUCCUACUGCAUUUUAGCAGCUUUAAGUUGUAGCUUGAGUGUUGUACUUCCUUUUCUUUGUUUAGUUAUUAUUUGGAUACAUGUGUAAUGGACUUUAUCGAGUGGAAUUGGUUAAGUGGUUCUGGAUGUUAA